This is a long non-coding RNA of Cyprinus carpio carpio, 1899 nucleotides long. NCBI's taxonomy places the organism in Eukaryota, Metazoa, Chordata, Actinopteri, Cypriniformes, Cyprinidae. The record is from Ensembl.
AUGGAAGCGUUUGAUAAGAUGCCUGUUUGCCUGAUUUUGCAUCUGCAGUCAUGCCUACGUGAUCCCUGCAUUUACAUGGACGCCCUCCUUCCGUAUUCUUCUGGCCCAGAUCAUCAUUCAGCCCAUCAUGUCACUGCAGAUGCUCCUCAAAGGAAUUCUGCUAGUCAUUACCUCAGGUGGGAUUGUCAACUUCAUGCCUUUUUUAUUUUCAGAAAUCUCCCAUCUUAAAACACAGGUAAUAUUUUAAUUGAUAUCAUAAUAAACCUUUUUGUGUGUGUGUGUGUCAUGAGGAUUCUACAUAGUAAUAAAGUAUUUUGGACAGGUUUUAUGGUUCAGAAGACCUGUACUAGGAGGACUUGCUACAUGGACACUCUUAAUAUAUUAUGGUAAGUUUUGCUUUUUUGAUUCUAAAAAUAUAAGCUUUUUAAUAAUAAAUAUGCUAUUUAAAGAAGUGGUUCAUCCAGAAUUAUAACUGUCUUCAUUGGCAUCUGGUUCCAUAAAGAAACUAAUGUUCAUGGAACCUUUUCAUUCAACAAAUGGAUCUUUAAAAUAAACAAAAAAAAAAAAAAUUCAAAUCUUCGGAAAAGAAAAAAAAUGGUUCUUUUAAGAACAUUUCACUGAAAGGUUCUCUGGACCAAAAAGUUUUCAUGGCAUCAGUUUGAAAGCCCCUUUUUGUAACAUUUAUUUUUAAGACUGCAUAUAAAUACCAAAAAAGCAGGCCAUAUGCAUGCUUGUGUGGGUUUUUCUGGGGUGAACUAUCUCCAUUAAUGCUUUUCUAAGAUUAUGCACCUUCAGCUACAGCAGAAGAAGCCAGCUAGGUUAUCAUUUGUUACAAAUUUGUGCCCUUCAGUUUAAUUUAAAUGCAAGACUACUGUCAAAGUCAAAGUUAACAAUACAAAGCCCUCCCUGUUCAUUUGUCAAAGCAAAAGCACUUACCGUUUUUAAAAUGACCCAGAAAGAGCUGAACCUAACGACUUCCAUCUCAAGUACAUGCAGACGGGAGAUAGACGGAGACAUCUGCGGUCCGUCUCCCUCCUGAGCUGCCCGCUUGUCGUCCGUCCCUGAUGUCUCUCUGAUUUUAGCACACCCUGAAAAACUCUCCAACACACUGACGUUUCAUCUAAUCAUCUGUAAAGAAGUUAUUGAGUUACCAAUCAGCACUAUGUUACUCAGGAGACCCAAAGCAAUUAUGUUGGAGCAGAUGAGAUGAAAGGAGAUGGCUACAGGAGAUGAGAUCUCAUGUCGGCCUCUUCGGAGACCCAGAAUGCUCUGCUGCAGCUCUGCCACUAUAACAGAACUCUGUCUUUCACUCAUAUCACUGCAGUUUACCCUCCUCCACUGAUAGCAGUCCGUGUUUUACAACAGACUCGCAUUGGCUUUCCAUUCUGGAUGAAUCAGUUGUUAUCACAUACUCUUUCCUAAUCAAACACAGAACAGUCCACUUAGUCUGCUUAAAAAGUCUCUGGUAUUCUCUGGUAUUCUGUCUCUUUGUUGACAGCAAGUUUGGCUUUUUUGCAUGUCAGAAAACACAUUACAAAAAGUAAUUUAAAAAAAGUAAAAUAAAAUAAAUAAAUAAAUAAAAAAAAUAGGCCUACAUCUAAUAUGUAUGUAUUUGAAUUGCAGAGUAUAAAAUCUCCAUCCAUUUGGAUUACACAGUUUUAGCAUAAAUAAACUAAUAAACUUCUUCUCAUUAAUAUUUUUCAGAACUUAAUGAAACAGGUAAGAUUUGUGUAAAAGUACUAAUAAAUUAAAUGUACAAUGGCCAGGUUUAAAUAUUUAUCAUUAAUAAAUUAAAAUACAUUUUAAGUUUCAAUUUCAUAUAUUUUAACUGGGUAUUGCUUGUUCUAGGACUUGCCAUAUUAAAUACAAAUUGAAAAAUAUAUAUUUAAUAUAUAUUUA